This 351-nucleotide ribosomal RNA is filed under the name Schizorchis sp. 3 KEG-2011. Its description in RNAcentral is "partial small subunit ribosomal RNA". The record is from RNAcentral. Lineage: Eukaryota; Metazoa; Platyhelminthes; Cestoda; Cyclophyllidea; Anoplocephalidae.
ACUUGUUUAACUAUGGCAAUAGAAAGUUAGUUUUGGUUAGCUGCAUAAAAUAGUUUUAUAGUCAGGUAAGAGUUUGUUUUUGCUUAGUUUAUUAGCAGCUAGUUUUUUAUUAGAAUAAAUGUUUUUUAAGAAUACUUAAUAAUAGAGGGGACAGGACACAGUGCCAGCAUCCGCGGUUAAUCUGUUUUCUUUGCUUUCUGGUAGACUAAUUUUAUGUAUUUAAGGGUAGAAUUAGGUGAAAUUUUUCUAUUUAUAUAUUUAAUGCUUAAUUUUUAAUAAAUAAAUUUUAUGACAGGGAUUAGAUACCCCAUUAAUUUGUUAUUAUAAUUUGUCUUAGUUUCAUAACUAAAA